Long non-coding RNA from Microcebus murinus (gray mouse lemur), 1007 nucleotides. RefSeq lists it as uncharacterized. The record is from RefSeq and is a predicted model, not a curated record. NCBI's taxonomy places the organism in Eukaryota, Metazoa, Chordata, Mammalia, Primates, Cheirogaleidae.
CGGGUCCGGGCAGCGACCAACGGCCGGCGGUCCUACCGUGCCCACUCCCGCCUGGCGAGCGGCGCCGGAAGCGGUACCCGGGGGCAGGCCGUGUAGGUGCGCGAGGCUCCCAGCAUGGUGCUUGGCAUAGAAUAAAUGCUUAGGGAUGCCUGAGACUGGUCACACUACGCCUGCCCUCCCGAGGCUCCCCAUCUAUGAAUCAAAUGGAAACAAGAGUCACAAAUGGAGGCAGAUUCAGAAUCUCAUCCUGAAAAGGAGACAGAAAGUAGAGAGCUACAGGAUGCACAGCCACAGGAUGGCAAAGAAACAGCAUCCUGCCAAGCCCCAUCCCAGCCAGCCAGCCAGCCAGGAACAGAAAAAUCUGGAGGCUCCAGGCCAAAGGCUUUGCUGCUAGGCACACUGCCUGAGCACCCACCGCAGCCCUCUGGCAGGACAGCCCAGGAGUGUGAGCUCAUGCAAACCUAACAGCAGGCCAAAGUUGUGCCACAAAGGGGAUGACACAGUAUGGGGGACAGGAGCUGAGAAUCCCAGAACUGCUGUGGCAGAAUUACCGGAAGUCUGAGGUUCUGAAAGAGGAAACCUGGGAAAGAGAAGCCCUUUGGCCACCUACCACCCCAUCUCUCCAAAGUCAAGCACAAUGAUAAAGUCCUGAACAGUCCAAUAAACUUCUUGGUUGAGUACCUUAUGAAAUGUAUUGAUGCUAUGAUUAAAAGUAAAACUGUAUCUCUUGAAAGACCUGGAAUAUUCUAAUUUAAUAAUAAAAAGCCUAAAACAAAAACCUUCCAUGUUCACCUUUAGAGGAUGCUCGGGAACUGGGGUCUGAAAACUGAUAAAUGAAAGAAUCGGGCAUUUAUCCAUUCUCUCCUGUAUGAACUGUGUCUCAAAGUAACCAAAUAAUUGAUGAGGAGAUGUUUUUUAUAGAAGAAUUCCUGCUAAUAAAUGCAGGUGAAACAAUAGAUAAAGAAUGUCAUCAUUGGAGGGAGGGGGGCAUGGGCAAUAUAAGUAAC